RNAcentral lists this ribosomal RNA (487 nucleotides) under uncultured bacterium. RNAcentral's name for it is "bacterial SSU rRNA". It matches the Rfam family "Bacterial small subunit ribosomal RNA", at positions 30 to 507 of the family's 1533-position model. The record is from RNAcentral.
AUUGAACGCUGGCGGCAUGCCUUACACAUGCAAGUCGAACGGUAACAGGGAGCUUGCUCCGCUGACGAGUGGCGAACGGGUGAGUAAUGUAUCGGAACGUACCAUUCGAGUGGGGGAUAACGUAGCGAAAAGUUACGCUAAUACCGCAUAUUCUGUGAGCAGGAAAGCAGGGGAUCGCAAGACCUUGCGCUGAUUGAGCGGCCGAUAUCAGAUUAGCUAGUUGGUGAGGUAAAGGCUCACCAAGGCGACGAUCUGUAGCGGGUCUGAGAGGAUGAUCCGCCACACUGGAACUGAGACACGGUCCAGACUCCUACGGGAGGCAGCAGUGGGGAAUUUUGGACAAUGGGGGCAACCCUGAUCCAGCCAUGCCGCGUGAGUGAAGAAGGCCUUCGGGUUGUAAAGCUCUUUCGGCCGGGAAAAAAAUCGCAUCAGUUAAUACCUGGUGUGGAUGAUGGUACCGGAAUAAGAAGCACCGGCUAACUACGUG